UACGAACCGUACAAACGUUAUUCGGAAUCACUGGGCUUAAAGGGAGCGUAGGCGGGCUAUCAAGUCUGGGGUGAAAUCCCACGGCUCAACCGUGGAACUGCCUCAGAUACUGACGGCCUCGAGGGAGAUAGGGGCAUGCGGAACUGUAGGUGGAGCGGUGAAAUGCGUUGAUAUCUACAGGAACUCCGGUGGCGAAAGCGGCGUGCUGGAUCUCUUCUGACGCUGAGGCUCGAAAGCUAGGGGAGCAAACGGG
Molecule: ribosomal RNA, 253 nt
Filed under: uncultured bacterium
Lineage: Bacteria
Description: partial 16S ribosomal RNA
Rfam family: Bacterial small subunit ribosomal RNA
Source: RNAcentral